UGUAACAAUUAUUUUAUGUAUUUUUAUAGACAAGUGGAUGGGUUAUUAUUGGAACAUGUUAAGAUUCUGGAAUUAUUCAAUGAAAUGGAGUUGCAGGAUGGUUAGUAAUGAAUCCUAUUAAAAUUUCAUAAUGGUGAUCUGGAUUCAAUCAAGAAGGAACUAUAUAAGCCAAUUUGUGGUAAUAUUGUAAAACAGCUAAACGAUUUGACUUAGUGAGUCGAGUUUCUAGUCAAAAAAUUGACUGACUUGAAGCGGUUUAGGCCCAAUUGCAAGCUGAUUAUUUUAAGAAUAAAAAUGAUUUUUUUUGUAAUAGGUAUAUUUAUAAUAAAAAUAUAUUUUAUCAUA
Long non-coding RNA from Gordionus sp. m RMFG-2023, 345 nucleotides. RefSeq lists it as uncharacterized. The transcript is spliced from 3 exons. Lineage: Eukaryota; Metazoa; Nematomorpha; Gordioida; Chordodea; Parachordodidae. The record is from RefSeq and is a predicted model, not a curated record.